Molecule: long non-coding RNA, 2968 nt
Organism: Equus caballus (horse)
Lineage: Eukaryota; Metazoa; Chordata; Mammalia; Perissodactyla; Equidae
Source: Ensembl
CAAGGUCCCUCCCUGAAGGAAGGUUUCUGGAGUGGCCAAAGGGGCCCGCCCUUAGGGCAGCCAGCCUGGUAGGCUCUGAGCUGCCUCUAUCUAGAUUCUGACACUUCCAGCCAAGGUCACCCACCUGACAGCCAUCAACUCAACAGCAGGGGACUCCAGGCUGACCUUUCCCUUGUCACCAGAUCCACACAACAGCGGUGGUGAGGCAGUCCAGACCACUGUCUUGUUCUCUCACUAGCCACGUCUGCCUUGGCACUUGGACAGAAUUCACAGCAAACGUUGCCAGGCAGAGUGUUGAAAAGUUCAAAUCAAUCAGAAGCCAGGUGUUGUCAAGUGGUGUGAGACAAAUGCCCACCCCCAGCCCCAGUGCCAGAACACAGCCUGAACGGGGAAAACAGAAAGCACUUCUCCAUUUAUUACUGUCUUACAAACAUUGUAACAACGGCAAGAAUAAAGGUUAGAGGAGCCACCAGCAGGUAAGUGCUGAGAUUCUUGGGUCUCUGGGAAGCUGCCACCCUCUCGGGCUGCGGCAGUGAGGCGGGGGUCCUCGAGAGCUCACUGGGAAGCCACAGCUGCCUCCAUCCCUGACGGAGACAGUUUUCGAGAAUGGCUUUGCCUUUUCUCCAUUGUGCAGAUCUCGCCCAAGAACCUCUCGUGAACAAGCUCUAGCCAGAGCCAUACAGGAAAGGGAACUGCAAGAGACGCGGUUCCUGGCUUCCCCUCCUGCAAGAGACGCGGUUCCUGGCUUCCCCUCCGUGUUGAAAAGGAGAUCUUAGAAAAGGGUGGAGGGAUGCUGAGCUGAAAAUAAACAAAUGAGCACAGUCCACGCUUCUUACCCCAGAUUAGAACUUCCCAAAAAGGACAGUAACAACAUCACAUUAUUCCUGACAUGAUGUGACUGUCCCUUACACAACUGAAGAUGCCCCCUUACCCCCUAAAAGAAACACACAGUAUCCCAUAGUUGCUUUAUCUCUGGGAAUGUUCACUUCUUUCUUAGUUCAGAUGCAAUCUUCCUUUGAUAUCCUAUGACCUAAAUGCCAAAUUCUAGGGCUAACACUUUAUAUUGGCUAGAGGGGGAAUGAGGAAGGAGAGAAAAAGAGCUGAUUAAUAUAUAUAUAUAUAUAUAUAUAUAUAUCUCAAAGCAAAGAAGAGAUUGUGCGUAGUUAUGAAGACUUCCUUUCUGCAAUUAGUCACGUGCCCAUGUUGGUAUUUAUAACUUUCUUCUUCCACCAGCCGUUGCAUGUUCUCUUCGUCCUCAGUCAACAUCUCACCUGGCCAUGUUCUUUACAUGGCAGCAUGACUCAAACCUUCCUUCAAAAUUCAUUAGAAGCAUCAGCUCUGCCCUCCAGCUGUUCUGCUCCAGACUGUCAUCCCUGACAGCUGCUCUACAGGGUAUCACGGCACACACCGCAGUGCAUCCUGAUGUCUGGCUUCCGGGAACUCCAACGUGUCAACAGAAAAGAUGAUCCGAGAUGGGCCUAAUCAGAGAGAGGUUUGUCAACAGAUGCGUGGCUGUGGAUCUAGACAGGCAACAGCUCCCCACAGACCUCUCCAUCAGAUCCCUUUUUGGUCUCACUCUGGCAGCUGGAUGGGGCCGGCUUUCAGACUGACUGGUUGAGUUGCGACUCAGGGGUCUUCUCAAGUGUUUGUGAGCUUGUUUUGCGUAAGAAAGAGAAGGCCUUUGGGGAGGCUGCACUCACCAGACGACUGGCCCUCUGUAGCCUUUGAAGCCCAAAAAUCAGAUUGCCCUGGGGCUUAUCAGGAGCGACCCCUCUGUUUCCCUGAAGCUCCUCCUGCCAAGCUCCUUGGCUCUCUGAAAACCCCCUGCUUUCUGUUCCGGAGAAGAUGGAUUUGAGCCCACCCAGGCUCCCACCUACUCAUUUUGGCCAGUUUGAAUAAAUCUUUCUCCAUCUCCAAGCACCGAUGUCUCAGUGUUAGACUUGCUGUGCAAGGGAAACGAGAACUUGAGAUUAAGAGUUUUGGUGUCAUAUACACACUCAGCAAAGAAGACGCUACGUUUUCAUGUUCUCAAGAGCAGUAGAGAAAGAAAUGAAUGGUAUUGUGGCUAAUGAAAUUAAAGAAAUCAAAUAAUUAGUGAAACAGGGGCUAGGGCUAAAUUAGAAACAGGUGGUGGAGCGGGGAGACAGGCUGCUGGGAACACUCCACAAAUUGUCAAAACACCCCUCUAAGAUAGGCACUCUGCUACCUCCCUUUACAGAUUAGGAAACAAAGAAAGUAGAAAGCCUCAAGGCAACCAAAUCAAGAGAAAGCAAGUCUUCAAACACUGAAGUUCUUCAAUGGCAGAAUAUUCUGCCAGAAUUCUGAAAAAGCCACAUGACAUUCCCACAUAAAUAAGAAGAGGAAGAGAGCGGGGAGAGGUGACAAGAGAGAGACAGAAAGAAAGAGAGACAGAGAGAGAAAUACAGCAAGGAAGGAAGGCAAAGAAAGGAGAGUGACAAGAGAAAAUGAGAAGUAAAAAGGCAGAACUGGGAAGGAAGAGGGAGACGUUGGCGGGUGACCUCCAUUUAUUCCAGUAACAUUUCUUGGUCACCUGCUCUGAGUCUGGAACUGUGCAGACUCUGGGUAUAUGAUAUGAACAAGUCCCCUCCCCAUCCGUGAGGCUUACAUUCCACUAAGUAAACCAGACAUUAAUCUGCAAAUUUAAAAAUUGCUGCCUUGUCUGCAAUUUACUUUACUUCACAGACUGUGUGAUAUAUAGGCGGUCAUUUUAAUUUAUAUUCUAGAUGUGGUUGGUUAAUAUCUGAACUCCCUAAUCAGAAAUACACACUUUAGGAGUGGCUAGUUAGCAUUUGAAAGACUAAUCAAAAUUCACACUCCAGAGACAGCUACCAUAGGCUCUAGUUAUCUUCAUAUUUGAUCAACGCCAGAAGAUUUGUUGCUUAGUAUAAUGGAUGUUGGAAAUAAUUUUUCUUUGGUGAAAUAAAUGAUCUUCAAAUUGUACGGAAUG